AGACCCGAAACCCGGUGAUCUAGCCAUGGGCAGGUUGAAGGUUGGGUAACACUAACUGGAGGACCGAACCGACUAAUGUUGAAAAAUUAGCGGAUGACCUGUGGCUGGGGGUGAAAGGCCAAUCAAACCGGGAGAUAGCUGGUUCUCCCCGAAAGCUAUUUAGGUAGCGCCUCGUGAAUUCAUCUCCGGGGGUAGAGCACUGUUUCGGCUAGGGGGCCAUCCCGGCUUACCAACCCGAUGCAAACUGCGAAUACCGGAGAAUGUUAUCACGGGAGACACACGGCG
RNAcentral lists this ribosomal RNA (285 nucleotides) under Salmonella enterica subsp. enterica serovar Uzaramo. RNAcentral's name for it is "partial 23S ribosomal RNA". It matches the Rfam family "Bacterial large subunit ribosomal RNA", at positions 711 to 993 of the family's 2925-position model. Lineage: Bacteria; Pseudomonadati; Pseudomonadota; Gammaproteobacteria; Enterobacterales; Enterobacteriaceae. The record is from RNAcentral.